CCUUCCUUUGCUUCUUACAAACCAACUUAUCUUUCUCUAUCCUUGUCAUAUUCUCAUUUGAACCUUUUUUUAAUUUUCAUAUUAGAAGGGUACUGAAAACUAUUACUGGUAACUUUUCCACUGUUGUAUGUCUUUUAGAUUGCCUAUUUUUGAUUCUUUUCACAUGUCUAAUGUCCUUGUGCUUUAACAAGUGCUUGCAGGGAGUGGGUAGAACCAUGAAGUAAGUGCAAGUAGAUGUUCUCAGGUCUUAGAUGCAAAUUUGGUUGUUAAUUAACCGACAUGCUGAUUCUGCAUGCCAGAACAGUCAUAAAUACUUAAGGUCACUGCUCUAUUUCUGUUUUACUCCUCAGAUGCAGAUAUUGCAAACAAAUAUUGGGAGUUCUACAGUUCAAUGGUGAGCUACUGAAUGUGCUGUCAGUGUAACUACAGAGAUAUUUAUGGACUGCUGACUGCAGGAGAAGGACAGUGACAACAUUACCAUAGGAGUUGUUUUGAUGUGCAACUGGAGAUCUGAGACUGAAAUUACUACUUCAGUUAUGAACAUCUUGGUUAUGUGCAAAUGGCUAAGAGGCUUUUCCUGCCUGCUUCUUUUCAAAUGGCGAGAGUCCAAAAGAAACAAAAUGAGAGCCUGCCACUAUGACUCCACCAAGUCAGCAAAGGCAAAUUUUCUGAAGAAAAAUUAACUAUCAGGAAGACUUUAAAAAUAUAUAUAUUGCUUGAGAAACAUCAAAUACUUAAGGUCAGAGUGAGAUGUAAUUUACACUAGCAUCAAUUUGGAUCACCUCCAUUGAUUUCACAGCAGUUGAUUUCGGUAGAAAUACACUGGAUUUACAAGUAUGCAAGUAAGACCACCACUUAGAGCACAGGACACUGUGAAGUGAUAUGCAGCUAGAUGCAGUCAGAGCCAAACUCUGCCCCGGGUUACAUCCUUUGAAGUCACUAAGUGUUUUCUUUGUCUCCCUAAUGCUUUGCAAUAUUUCUUGUCUCCAAUAAAAUACUUUUCUUUCCCUGAUACA
RNAcentral lists this long non-coding RNA (1016 nucleotides) under Numida meleagris (helmeted guineafowl). RNAcentral's name for it is "lncRNA (ENSNMEG00000006213.1)". Lineage: Eukaryota; Metazoa; Chordata; Aves; Galliformes; Numididae. The record is from RNAcentral.